UACGGAGGGUGCAAGCGUUAUCCGGAUUCACUGGGUUAAAGGGUGCGUAGGUGGGCCGGUAAGUCCGUGGUGAAAUCUCUGAGCUUAACUCAGAAACUGCCGUGGAUACUAUCGGUCUUGAAUACCGUGGAGGUGAGCGGAAUAUGUCAUGUAGCGGUGAAAUGCUUAGAUAUGACAUAGAACACCAAUUGCGAAGGCAGCUCACUACACGCCUAUUGACACUGAGGCACGAAAGCGUGGGAUCAAACAGG
Molecule: ribosomal RNA, 251 nt
Filed under: uncultured bacterium
Lineage: Bacteria
Description: partial 16S ribosomal RNA
Rfam family: Bacterial small subunit ribosomal RNA
Source: RNAcentral